GAAUUUCUUCUUGGUUUAAUAUGAUGCUCCUUCUCCUUGCUUGUCAAAUCCUCAGUAAUCCUCCAAAAUUAGUUCUAACUCUCUUAGGCUCUCAAUUUCUCUCCAUGUUUACUCACUUGGUGGAAUUUUCUUAAAAAAAAAGUGUGUUUGUAUAUAUGUAUAGCUUUGUUAGAGUCUUUUGAUUCCCAUAACCCCCAACUC
RNAcentral lists this long non-coding RNA (201 nucleotides) under Panax ginseng (ginseng). RNAcentral's name for it is "long non-coding RNA (PGIN_LNC014430)". The record is from RNAcentral. Lineage: Eukaryota; Viridiplantae; Streptophyta; Magnoliopsida; Apiales; Araliaceae.